CCUACGGGUGGCAGCAGUGGGGGAUAUUGCACAAUGGGGGCAACCCUGAUGCAGCGACGCCGCGUGAGUGAAGAAGUAUUUCGGUAUGUAAAGUUCUAUCAGCAGGGAAGAAAAUGACAGUAUCUGACCUAGAUGCCCCGGGUAUAUAUGCGCCACAAGCGGCGGGAAAACGCAGGUGGGAUAUUAAGUCUGGUGUUAAAUGCAGAGGCACAACUUCUGUUCGGCACUUGAAACUGGUAAGCUUGAAUGCUGUAGAGGUAGAGGGAAUUCCUGGUGUAGCGGUGAAAUGCGUAGAUAUGAGGAGGAACAUCGGUGGCGUAGGCGCUUUACUGGGCCGUAAUUGACACUGAGGAACGAAAGCCGGGGUAGCAAAUGGGAUUAGAUACCCCAGUAGUC
RNAcentral lists this ribosomal RNA (396 nucleotides) under uncultured bacterium. RNAcentral describes it as "partial 16S ribosomal RNA". It matches the Rfam family "Bacterial small subunit ribosomal RNA", at positions 338 to 795 of the family's 1533-position model. The record is from RNAcentral.